AAUCUUAGACAAUUGGGGCAACCCUGAUCUAGCCAUGCCGCGUGAGUGAUGAAGGCCUNGGGGUGNUNAAGCUCUUUCAGCUGUGNAGAUAAUAACGGUAGCAGCAUAAGAAGUCCCGGCUAACUCCGUGCCGGCAGCCGCGGUAAUACGGAGGGGACUAGCGGUGUUCGGAAUUAGUGGGAGGAAUGGCCACGUAGGCGGAUCGGAAAGUUGGGGGUGAAAUCCCGGGGCGCAACCCCGGAACUGCCAUCAAAACUAUCGGUCUGGGGUUCGAGAGAGGUGAGUGGAAGUCCGAGUGUAGAGGUGAAAUUCGUAGAUAUUCGGAGGAACACCAGUGGCGAAGGCGGCUCACUGGCUCGAUACUGACGCUGAGGUGCGAAAGCGUGGGGAGCAAACA
This 397-nucleotide ribosomal RNA is filed under the name uncultured bacterium. Its description in RNAcentral is "partial 16S ribosomal RNA". It matches the Rfam family "Bacterial small subunit ribosomal RNA", at positions 360 to 774 of the family's 1533-position model. The record is from RNAcentral.